Molecule: ribosomal RNA, 121 nt
Filed under: Bipolaris maydis C5
Lineage: Eukaryota; Fungi; Ascomycota; Dothideomycetes; Pleosporales; Pleosporaceae
Source: RNAcentral
ACAUACGGCCACAGGAAACUCGGCAGCAGGGAAACCCGUUUGAUCUUCCAUACUUAAACAGUUUACCGGCGGGUUAGUAGUCAGGUGGGAGACCACUGGCGAAUACCCGCUGUCGUAUGUA